Molecule: long non-coding RNA, 349 nt
Organism: Homo sapiens (human)
Lineage: Eukaryota; Metazoa; Chordata; Mammalia; Primates; Hominidae
Source: Ensembl
AAAGGAUAAAGAAAAUUGGGGCUAAAGUUCCCUGCUCACCUCCUAACAGAGAUUGAGCAGGUAUCUGUGAAAACAUCCUUUAAAAAAGCAGUUAGUUUUCCAUGUCAUGAUGGCUGCUCCUGAAGAAGUUAAAAUGUGCUGGUGUUGGCUCAGGAGUGAUCGUCACCCACAGGAAAUUAACUGGAGGAAGAUUCUAGGAGGCUCAGUGCUAUGCAGGAGCCUGUUACCACAGCCACCAAUAAGCUAACAGCGGAAGCUGCUGCCUAAAACUAUUCUUUUUAACAUCCAAGAUUUUGAAAAUAGUUCAUCCUUUCACUAUGCUAUUAAUAAAAAUUCAUAAUACAAUUUC